RNAcentral lists this ribosomal RNA (795 nucleotides) under uncultured bacterium. Its description in RNAcentral is "bacterial SSU rRNA". It matches the Rfam family "Bacterial small subunit ribosomal RNA", at positions 553 to 1351 of the family's 1533-position model. The record is from RNAcentral.
ACUGGGUGUAAAGGGAGCGCAGGCGGGAAAUCAAGUCAGCGGUGAAAUCUACAGGCUUAACCUGUAGCCUGCCGUUGAAACUGUUUUUCUUGAGUGGAGUAGAGGCAAGCGGAAUUCCGAGUGUAGCGGUGAAAUGCGUAGAGAUUCGGAGGAACACCAGUGGCGAAGGCGGCUUGCUGGGCUCUAACUGACGCUGAGGCUCGAAAGUGUGGGGAGCAAACAGGAUUAGAUACCCUGGUAGUCCACACUGUAAACGAUGAUUGCUAGGUGUGGGGGGUCUGACCCCCUCCGUGCCGGAGCUAACGCAAUAAGCAAUCCACCUGGGGAGUACGGCCGCAAGGUUGAAACUCAAAGGAAUUGACGGGGGCCCGCACAAGCAGUGGAUUAUGUGGUUUAAUUCGAUGCAACGCGAAGAACCUUACCAGGUCUUGACAUCCAACUAACGAAGCAGAGAUGCAUCAGGUGCCUUUCGGGGAGAGUUGAGACAGGUGGUGCAUGGUUGUCGUCAGCUCGUGUCGUGAGAUGUUGGGUUAAGUCCCGCAACGAGCGCAACCCUUGCCAUUAGUUGCUACGCAAGAGCACUCUAAUGGGACCGCUACCGACAAGGUGGAGGAAGGUGGGGACGACGUCAAAUCAUCAUGCCCCUUACGACCUGGGCCACACACGUAAUACAAUGGCCGUUAACAGCGUGAAGCAAUACCGCGAGGUGGAGCGAAACACCAAAAACGGUCUCAGUUCGGAUCGCAGGCUGCAACCCGCCUGCGUGAAGUUGGAAUUGCUAGUAAUCGCGGAUCA